This 497-nucleotide ribosomal RNA is filed under the name uncultured bacterium. Its description in RNAcentral is "partial 16S ribosomal RNA". It matches the Rfam family "Bacterial small subunit ribosomal RNA", at positions 28 to 507 of the family's 1533-position model. The record is from RNAcentral.
GAUGAACGCUGGCGGCGUGCCUAAUACAUGCAAGUCGAGCGAACAGACGAGGAGCUUGCUCCUCUGACUUUAGCGGCGGACGGGUGAGUAACACGUGGAUAACCUACCUAUAAGACUGGGAUAACUUCGGGAAACCGGAGCUAAUACCGGAUAAUAUAUUGAACCGCAUGGUUCAAUAGUGAAAGACGGUUUUGCUUUCACUUAUAAAUGGAUCCGCGCCGCAUUAGCUAGUUGGUAAGGUAACGGCUUACCAAGGCAACGAUGCGUAGCCGACCUGAGAGGGUGAUCGGCCACACUGGAACUGAGACACGGUCCAGACUCCUACGGGAGGCAGCAGUAGGGAAUCUUCCGCAAUGGGCGAAAGCCUGACGGAGCAACGCCGCGUGAGUGAUGAAGGUCUUCGGAUCGUAAAACUCUGUUAUUAGGGAAGAACAAAUGUGUAAGUAACUAUGCACGUCUUGACGGUACCUAAUCAGAAAGCCACGGCUAACUACGUG